This 168-nucleotide small RNA is filed under the name Microcebus murinus (gray mouse lemur). RNAcentral describes it as "TUC338 (ENSMICG00000029825.2)". The record is from RNAcentral. Lineage: Eukaryota; Metazoa; Chordata; Mammalia; Primates; Cheirogaleidae.
CUGGCAGUAAUGGAAACUGAAGUCCUCUUUUUGUAUCCACAGGAUGGAUACAGUUGGGCCACUCCAGUGAGCCUCUCCAUGCUGCCCCAUCAAUGACCUGGAGGGACAUUCUUCCCUCUCUUAGAGAGAGGAUGUUUGGUCUCCAUAGCAACUCAGUUCUGGUCCUCU